AUGCUUAAGGAAGUUAUUUUCCCAAGGUUUGGAGCCCCUAGAUAUUUAAUAACUGAUGGUGGUUCACACUUUAUUCAUGUUGCUUUUCGUAAGAUGCUUCCCAAGUAUGAUGUUAAUCAUAGAAUUGCAUCACUCUAUCAUCCUCAAUCUAGUGGUCAAGUUGAACUUAGCAAUAGAGAAAUAAAAUUAAUUUUGCAAAAGACUGUCAAUAGGUCCAGAAAGAAUUGGUCUAAGAAAUUAGAUGAUGCACUUUGGGCUUAUAGAACAGCACAUAAAAAUCCUAUGGGUAUGUCUUCUUAUAAAAUGGUUUAUGGAAAAGCUUGUCAUUUGCCUCUUGAGUUAGAACAUAAAGCAUUUUGGGCAGUCAAAGAACUCAACUAUGAUUUCAAACUUGCUGGUGAAAAGAGGUUAUUUGAUAUUAGCUCUCUA
Molecule: ribosomal RNA, 429 nt
Filed under: Triticum aestivum (bread wheat)
Lineage: Eukaryota; Viridiplantae; Streptophyta; Magnoliopsida; Poales; Poaceae
Description: partial small subunit ribosomal RNA
Source: RNAcentral